GUUUAACUAAACAAAGUUCUACAAUAACCACUCAAUUCAAGUUCUUAGCUCAGAUCUCGUCACAAUGAAGCUGGGUAUUUUUCUCAUUGCUGGCCUGAUUUUUAUCAACUUGUGCACCUGCAUGCCAAGGGACAUGGCGGCGGAUGCAUCUCACGGUACCACUGUGCCACAGAGGGAAAUUCGCAAACUGAUUGCCGGAACUGACGGAAGAAACGGCCCUCCCAGCAAUGAUCACCAGUGCAAGCUUGGGACCUACCCGAAUUGUCAAGGCAUGUAUCAGAAGUCAGAACACUGAGGAAGUAGCUCAAGAUGUUCAUGGAAUUGAGGCCGUCUCUGCUGAUCACAGAGCACCAAGAUUCAUGAAAGAGAUAUAUAUAGCCCCUAAGUUCAUGGCGGACGUACUUAUCAUGCUACUUGUUGCCACGUGGAAGGCUGUAUAGCCAUGCUAACAGGACUAGCGUUUUUAUGCUUAAUUUGCCAGUAUUAUUUCAAUGCUUAUAUUUAUAUAGAAACCUACAUGAACCAUUAUAUUUCUUCAAGCCCAAUAAUUUGUAUUUGUGAUAUCGCCUUGUCAAGUUCAAUAAUUGUAUAUAAACAUAUGUUUCCCCA
Molecule: long non-coding RNA, 609 nt
Organism: Panicum virgatum (switchgrass)
Lineage: Eukaryota; Viridiplantae; Streptophyta; Magnoliopsida; Poales; Poaceae
Exons: 2
Source: RefSeq, a predicted model, not a curated record